Macaca fascicularis (crab-eating macaque) is the source of this 158-nucleotide unclassified non-coding RNA. It matches the Rfam family "Metazoan signal recognition particle RNA". From Rfam's summary of the family: The signal recognition particle (SRP) is a universally conserved ribonucleoprotein. The record is from Ensembl. Lineage: Eukaryota; Metazoa; Chordata; Mammalia; Primates; Cercopithecidae.
GCCAGGCACUGUGGUGUGUGCCUGUAGUCCCAGCCACAUGGGAGGCUGAGGCAGGAGGAUCACUUGAGCCCAGGAGUUUGGACUGUAGUUUGCUAUGAUAGUGCCUGUCAGUAGCUGCUGCACUCCAGUCUGGGCAAUGUAGUGAGGCCCCAUUUCUU